UACGUAGGCAGCGAGCGUUGUUCGGAGUUACUGGGCGUAAAGCGUGCGUAGGCGGUUGUCUAAGUUUGGUGUGAAAUCUCCCGGCUUAACUGGGAGGGUGCGCCGAAAACUGGGUGACUGGAGUGUCAGAGAGGUAAGCGGAAUUCCUGGUGUAGCGGUGAAAUGCGUAGAGAUCAGGAGGAACACCUGUGGUGUAGACAGCUUACUGGACGAUAACUGACGCUGAGGCACGAAAGCGUGGGUAGCAAACAGG
RNAcentral lists this ribosomal RNA (253 nucleotides) under uncultured bacterium. Its description in RNAcentral is "partial 16S ribosomal RNA". It matches the Rfam family "Bacterial small subunit ribosomal RNA", at positions 524 to 776 of the family's 1533-position model. The record is from RNAcentral.